Molecule: long non-coding RNA, 584 nt
Organism: Neofelis nebulosa (Clouded leopard)
Lineage: Eukaryota; Metazoa; Chordata; Mammalia; Carnivora; Felidae
Exons: 2
Source: RefSeq, a predicted model, not a curated record
AGGCGCCCCUGUUCAUCUUUUCUUUUUUUUGAUGAGCUACAAAGUAAACUGCAGACACCAUAAUUUCUGCUCCCCCCUCCACACUUCAGCACGCAGAUCAUUAAUUAUAAUCCAAUAUAAAUUUCCAGUGCUCUUCUAUUUCAUUUAUUUAUCUAUUUAGAAGGGGUGGGGGGGUGGGGGAGAGAGAACAAGCAUGGGAAGGACAGAGAGAGAAUCCCAAGCAGGCUCCGCACUGUCGGUGUGGAGCCCGAUACAGGCCUCAAACUCACAAACCACGAGCUCAUGACCUGAGCUGAAACCAAGAGUCUGACACUUAACCGACUGAGCCAUACAGGCGCCCCGAUUCCUUUCAUUUUUUUUCUUUGACUUCUUUCAAAGUAAAAUUUGCAUAGAGCAAAACAUAUUAAAGCGGCUCAUGCACAGAGUUUGGAAAAAUGCGUGCAUCUGUACAACCACAGCCCUAUCAGCAUACAGAACAUCACCAUCACUCCAGAAAGUUCCCUCCCUUUUUCGGUCAGUCUCUGUUCCCACCUCACCCCAGAAGCAACCACUCCUCUGGGUCUUUUUUUUUUUUUUUUUUUUUU